UACGUAGGGUGCGAGCGUUAAUCGGAAUUACUGGGCGUAAAGCGUGCGCAGGCGGUUUUGUAAGCCAGAUGUGAAAGCCCCGGGCUUAACCUGGGAAUAGCAUUUGGGACUGCAAGGCUUGAGUGCGGCAGAGGAGACUGGAAUUCCUGGUGUAGCAGUGAAAUGCGUAGAUAUCAGGAGGAAUACCGAUGGCGAAGGCAGGUCUCUGGGCUGACACUGACGCUCAUGCACGAAAGCGUGGGGAGCAAACAGG
Molecule: ribosomal RNA, 253 nt
Filed under: uncultured bacterium
Lineage: Bacteria
Description: partial 16S ribosomal RNA
Rfam family: Bacterial small subunit ribosomal RNA
Source: RNAcentral